CCUGCAAUAACAUUCAUCCAUAUGGAGUCGCGGCGUAAUCUACACAACAUUAGAAGGUGAAACAACAAGUCUCACGAUUAUUGGCACUCUUGAUGAAUAAACUGACCUAUAUAAACAAUUCACAAAGUAAUUCACAGAGAUUUUCUUCUUUAUUAAUAUGAAUUGGAUGCAACAUGACCACUUUAAUAAUUAUAAUAAAGACAUUAAAUCCAGAUUCAAUUCUCAAAGGUAAGGCCACAAACCAUAACUUUUCCGCCAUAAUAGAACAAUCUGCAAGGUAUUUUCUGGCCUUGUACUCUCUCCAUACUUCUUGUGCGUAAACUGACGACUCAGUGAACACGUCUUCUCCAAGAAUGAAACUCUAUAACUUCUAUAAGUUUGGCAAGUCAGAAUAAUGAAGUGUAAUUACUUGAGUUCAUAGUCAUUACAAAUUAUUUGCAAUGACUUCCAUCUACCUAUCCAUCCUUCUUUCCAUCUUCUGUCGACAUAUACUUAGAUCAAAGAUAGAAGUAAAAAGGCAAGUGAAAAGUAACUUGAUAAACACAAAAUAAGACAGUUGAAUUUGAAACUUGAAAACCGAAACUUAUGACCAUUCAGAAUAUCAAUGAGCACUUGCAUGGUAAAACUCGAUAAGUAAAUCUCUGUUGGCAAAAGGAAAUUGCAUGCAAUAGAAAAAAGUGCAUAAAUGGAAAUUAGAGAAAGUCACAUAUAAAAGAACCAAGUGUAAGAGAAAAAAAAACUCCUUGAAUGGUUAUUCCCAAACUAAAAGUUGCAAAUUCCAUAUAAGAAAUUUGCUAUUUUUUUUUUUGUGUAAUUCGAAAAACAUAGUUAGUCCUUUCUACAACUUCUCUUUGUCAUAAAACUUCUCUUUCUCAACAUAGUUCGUACUAAUUUAAUAUGUCAAUAUAUAGAGGACCAACGUAUAUUCAACAACAUAUUUCGAACAGUAAUUUUGUCACUUAUGUUGAUAUUAGUUUAUAUGCAAGCUCAAUAACAUAUUCACACCUUUUAUCUACAUCUCUAACCAGCAGUCCUAAACCAACCUGAAGCCUAAAGUCAAUAGAUACUCUUCUUAUUAUUCAACGUAAAAGAGACACAUAUAACCCUCUUCAUUUCAACAGGGGGGAAGAAUAAUGAAAAUAAAUGAGAUAAAGCAUUACCUCCGUCUUUGAUGCACAAAAUGUCCACUUCAGGUGUUCAACAUAUGAUCCCUUACAUUACCCCUGCAACAUCUGAUGAAAGAAUCAUCUUUCAGGCUGCUCUGUAGGUACUUGUUUGUGCCCUUUCUUGUGAUCUGUAAAAGUCUCUAUUGUAUUGCACGAUUCAUUAACUUCAUGCAUUUUGAUCCUUCUUUUUGUCUCCAACAAAUCAGAACGUCUUCACUAUUCCCUCCUUCCCUCCCUAGAAUGGAUCAAUGGAUAUCCCUUUCUCAUAUUGGAGUUAUACAUUCUGUAUGCCUGAAACUAUACAGUUGAACAGAAUCAAGCUUGAACUGGAAAAAGUAAUGCUCAAUGUCUCAAACCAUAGAGAACUUAAAACUCAAAUUUAGAAAUUUGACUAUUAGACCGGUGAAGCCAACAGAGAAGAAUAAACUAAGGAUGAGGAUACUGAAAACUGAUCUAUCUAAGAUUUGGCGCAGGUUCUAGCUUCUGAAAAGGUAGAUCAGUAUAAAUGAAUAAGGAGACACGUAUUAUAAUGCAUAAUAUAUGUGUCUUUAUGAUAAUGAAUGAUUUGUUUCUACAUUUAUCUCGAUAUUAAGUUUCCUCAAAUUGCCAAACAGAAACUCAAUCUAGUAAAAUCACCUAUGUAGUACCAAAAUUCAAGAAAAUUAAUUUUGGGUGUAAAAGAAAUUGAAAUUAUGAGUUUUAAAUGAGGAAGAUUUAUAAGUUAUAGUUAUCAGGAGCAUCAAUUGACCAUAUCUCAAAUUUCAUUCAGAUUUAUAUGCAGUGUUUCAGUUGUAAGAUGCCCCCUUGGGUUGAGUUUUUUAUAAACUUUCUUGACAAAUACACACACACACACACACACACACAUAUAUAUAGUCCUUGGAGUGAACAAACAUGGGCAGAACACCUUGUAGUGUAUUAGCGCUGGUGGAAGAAUACUUCUGUUUAGUUCUUUCGGUCCCUUUACAAAACUUAUUUGAUUACUGAUAGAGAUGGAAUGCCUGAAAAAUGUUGUCUAAUACAAACGAAUAUUUCCAAUAAAAAUAUAAUAUUCUAUAUGCUUGCAUGGAAGUCUGAAACAUGAAAUAGGAUGCAGGGAAUAGUACAAUCAUGGUGCACAAGUUACAAAAUUUCAGUAUGUAUCAGUCAAGCAUAUUUACAGGAAAAUCACUAUGAGUUAUAACACCAAACAAAAAUAUAGAAUAGCUAUAUUAUCAGCGUACCUAUUUACAUGUUCCCACAUGUCCAACUCCAUAUUGUCAAUAUUUUUUCUUCUCUGUUUCUUCUUCUUUUAGGUUGAUGUAUUCAAAUUGCCAAUGCUUAAAAAAAGCUCUUCCGUUAUCACUUGCCAUCCAUGAGCAAGAGAUGUCAGUGAGGAUUCCUGAAAACAAAUAUCAAACAUCUUAUGAAUGAACUAAAAGGAUAAUUUCUCAAUUCAGCUUUUAGUAUAUCAUAUUGAUUCCCUGAUUAACUGUCACUUGCAAGGAAGAGAGUUGUUUACAAUAUUUUACUACAGUCAAUUAUCUCAACUUUUAGACACAUAUUUUUCAUUUUCUU
RNAcentral lists this long non-coding RNA (2720 nucleotides) under Nicotiana tabacum (common tobacco). RNAcentral's name for it is "long non-coding RNA (NTAB_LNC000158)". The record is from RNAcentral. Lineage: Eukaryota; Viridiplantae; Streptophyta; Magnoliopsida; Solanales; Solanaceae.